UGGGGAAUAUCGCACAAUGGGCGCAAGCCUGAUGCAGCCAUGCCGCGUGUGUGAAGAAGGCCUUCGGGUUGUAAAGCACUUUCAGCGGGGAGGAAGGCGAUAAGGUUAAUAACCUUGUCGAUUGACGUUACCCGCAGAAGAAGCACCGGCUAACUCCGUGCCAGCAGCCGCGGUAAUACGGAGGGUGCAAGCGUUAAUCGGAAUUACUGGGCGUAAAGCGCACGCAGGCGGUCUGUCAAGUCGGAUGUGAAAUCCCCGGGCUCAACCUGGGAACUGCAUUCGAAACUGGCAGGCUAGAGUCUUGUAGAGGGGGGUAGAAUUCCAGGUGUAGCGGUGAAAUGCGUAGAGAUCUGGAGGAAUACCGGUGGCGAAGGCGGCCCCCUGGACAAAGACUGACGCUCAGGUGCGAAAGCGUGGGGAGCAAACAGG
RNAcentral lists this ribosomal RNA (429 nucleotides) under Chloroflexota bacterium. RNAcentral's name for it is "Chloroflexi bacterium partial 16S ribosomal RNA". It matches the Rfam family "Bacterial small subunit ribosomal RNA", at positions 355 to 776 of the family's 1533-position model. The record is from RNAcentral. Lineage: Bacteria; Bacillati; Chloroflexota.